This 173-nucleotide unclassified non-coding RNA is filed under the name Lactiplantibacillus plantarum. RNAcentral describes it as "Lactobacillus plantarum T-box". Lineage: Bacteria; Bacillati; Bacillota; Bacilli; Lactobacillales; Lactobacillaceae. The record is from RNAcentral.
AGUUAAGUGUUGAUGAGAGAAGGUUAACGGAUUCGACUUACAGUGAGACCGUGAUGGUGAAAAACGGUCAGUCAAAGUCGUUAAUUGGCGCUUUCGGAGCUUUAAUACCGUGUAAUUAAGCUGCUGAGGUUACUCAGAAGUAGGGUGGAACCGCGAAACCAAUCGUCCCUAUG